RNAcentral lists this ribosomal RNA (290 nucleotides) under Cetraspora gilmorei. RNAcentral describes it as "partial 18S ribosomal RNA". It matches the Rfam family "Eukaryotic small subunit ribosomal RNA", at positions 1543 to 1830 of the family's 1831-position model. The record is from RNAcentral. Lineage: Eukaryota; Fungi; Glomeromycota; Glomeromycetes; Diversisporales; Gigasporaceae.
UGGGUAAUCUUGUGAAACUUCAUCGUGAUGGGGAUAGAGCAUUGCAAUUAUUGCUCUUCAACGAGGAAUCCCUAGUAAGCGUGAGUCAUCAGCUCACGUUGAUUACGUCCCUGCCCUUUGUACACACCGCCCGUCGCUACUACCGAUUGAAUGGCUUAGUGAGACCCUCGGAUCGACUCAUGGAAACCUUCACGGGUAUCUAUUUGUUGAAAAGUUGGUCAAACUUGGUCAUUUAGAGGAAGUAAAAGUCGUAACAAGGUAGCCGUAGGUGAACCUGCGGAAGGAUCAUU